Molecule: unclassified non-coding RNA, 258 nt
Filed under: air metagenome
Description: partial contains small subunit ribosomal RNA, internal transcribed spacer 1, and 5.8S ribosomal RNA
Rfam family: Eukaryotic small subunit ribosomal RNA (bases 1-46)
Source: RNAcentral
AAGUCGUAACAAGGUCUCCGUUGGUGAACCAGCGGAGGGAUCAUUACAAGUAGAGUUUACGAACUCUUAAACCCUUUGUGAACCUUACCUAUCGUCAGUUGCUUCGGCGGGAGGCCCCUGGGAGGGGCCCCGGGGCCCGGCCUGAGCCGGGCUCCCGCCGGAGGAGCGCAAACCAAACUCUUGCUGUACCUCAGUGGAACAUCCGAGUUAAAACAAAAAAACAAGUUAAAACUUUCAACAACGGAUCUCUUGGUUCUG